Equus caballus (horse) is the source of this 9215-nucleotide long non-coding RNA. The record is from Ensembl. NCBI's taxonomy places the organism in Eukaryota, Metazoa, Chordata, Mammalia, Perissodactyla, Equidae.
GACGAGGAGAGGGUGCCACCGCAGAAGUGCUCACUUGAAAAAUUCUAAACGCGUCAAAAUAACUUUGAUAAACUCGCAAAGACGCCUGGCUCAGGGGAAAGGAAUGGGCCCCGCGCCCCGAGAGCCCACUUCCCGCGCCGCCGCCGGGAGAGCCACCGCGGGGCGGGCGGGGCGCGGGGUCCCCUCUGGCGCCGCUGACUCACCGCGGCCCGCGCCUUAAAAGGGCAGUCGCUUCCGGGGCCGACCCGGCGUUGGGGGGGGGGGGGCUCGUUGUCACCUCCUGUGCCCUCGCUCGGAGUGGCACCCCUUCCACUUCAAGGCUGACCGCUAUGCCUGAUCCUACGUCUUUCAACCCGGGUCCAGCUUUCUGUCUCAUUUACAGCCUCUCCCUGGAGGAGGCCGUGGACUCCCACGGCGCCCGCGGUCACCCAUCCUCGAUGAGCCUGGACUCUUCAGCCUGGGCCCCCUCUAAACUUCUACGUGAAUGUCCACGGCUUUCCGGGAGCCGCUCCCUCAGUCCAAGUCCCUUGCAGCUCCUCCACUCAUCGCUGUAAACCGGCCGUGUCAAAGAGCUGGAGUCAUCGCCCCUGCACCCUCCCUAGCUGGUGACCAAGCAGACACCCUCCCUCUCCUUUGAACUCUGUCCCCUCCAGACUCUUGCUUCGUCGUUGGUCACGUGCCCAGGCCUCCUCUGCUCUGACUCUCUCAUCCACCUCUUCCGUCCUGUGAACUCCUGGGUCAAGCCUCCGCCGCACUUGCUUCUCAGCCCCUGUUGGCCUGGCUUCCUGCGUGGGGCCCCUCGCCCACCCAGAGCUGCCGUGGACGUGAUCAGGUAGUGGCACUCGUCGCUGUGGCUGAAGCCAGGUCCCUGCCAAGCCUGUCAGCAGGGGAGGGAGAAGGGAGAGUGAAGGGGGGUCGUGCCAGUGUGUCAAGACCCCACCAGGACAUUGCACACCUGAUGGGAGCUCACACCGGCGAGAACUUGGUCACACUUAGCCCCACUAGCUGCAAGAGAGGCUGGGAAAUGUCGUUUCUAGCAGGGUGGUCCUGUGUCCACCUCUCACAGCUGCCUGCUCCGGCCGAAGUCAUUGCCAUCUGCUCAGACAGAAUGGAAACGAGGAUGUAUUGGGCACUUGCCAUGUGCCAGACAUUGUGAUGGCCAUUUUCCGACGUCAUCCCCUUUCACCUUCACCAGUGUUUUACCUACACUGAGACAGCUGGGCCCAGCUUGGCUGGGCUGCUGCCUCCCGAGUCAUGCUCUGUGGAAGUCCUCCGUCUCAGGGCGCCUCUCUAGGUUAGUUUUUUGCAUGUCUGCCUCCCCCACUGAGUAUGUGCUUAAUAAAUGCUCUACUAAGUGGUGAAUCAGAGUGGGUUCAUUAAAUUAGCUCAUGAAAAUUACAUAAUGUCACCUCACUGGGUUAUGUUGUAGGCUAUUUUUGUUUUUCCUCCUUUGUCCCCUGAGCAGUAAUUAGCUGUCAGUCCCUGCAAGCGCUCAGGCAGAGUGUGGACGCCCACCUCAGGGAGGUUGUAUUGGAUUAGAUGAACCCCAGGACCCCCACAGUCCCAAGGAGCUGUAUUUCACCUCCACCUCAAUCACAACUUUUGGCAAUAAUUUUCAUUCUUCCACUCGGCAAAUCUGUGCUAAGGGCCACCCAGUCCCAGGUCCUCUCAGUGCUGAGCACUCAGUCGUGUACUAAGGAGGCCCCUGCUCUCAGGAACGAGCAUGGGAUGAAAAGACAGAUAGUAAACCCACCAACAAGAAGACAGAUGGCAACUCAGACAGAGAUAAGAGCCAAGAAGAAAAUAAAAGAGGACAAGAUGAGAACCAUAUGCCUGACGACCAGGGAAGGCCUCUCCAAGGAGAUGACAAUUCAAGGGACACCGAAUGAGAGAAGCGACAGCCAUGGACAGCUUUCCCAGCAGAGAGAACAAGCCCCAGUUGGAGUGUCUGAGGUUCCCAGAGCAGCCAGGGUGGCCGGAGCAGAGCAGGCGAGGAGAGAGAUGGGAGAGCCAGGUGGGGGCCAGGUGGCACAGAGACGCACAGACCAGGGGGCGGGGCCUGUUCUAAUGGGACAAUAAGUCACGUCCAGCUAUGAGCCGGGCAGUGAUGCGAUCCUAUUUAGAUUGUUGGACAGUUGUCCCAGCUGUUGUGUAGAAGGUGGAUUUUGUAGAGCUGGAGUGGAAGUGGGCUCCCGAUGGGAACAUUUUUGAAUGGUCCACCAGAGAGCUGACGGAGGCUGUGACCAGGGUGAUAGCAGUGGAGACGAGAAGCGGCAGGUCUGUGUUCUGUGAACAGCCCACAGGUCUUUCUGAAAAUGCUUCUUUUUAGAUAGCUACCACGUCCUCAUCUCCUGGGGCAUUAACACGUAUCAUUACAUCCCCUGGAAUCAAGGGCUCACAACACAGGACCGUGUGGUGGUCAGUGUGACAGCCCCUCUCCCAGGCUUGAAGGCUGCGUCUUGUCUGACUGCAGAUUAUACUCAUGGGUGGGCUCUUCACCUUGGCCUGAAUCCCUCUUUGGGUAGAGGUGAUCAUGGACAGUAGCCCUGCCUCCAUCAAGCUCAGUCCCAUUGGAGAGACAGACAGUGAACAAAGACAAAAAUACAUGUAAAAUGACACCUGUGAGGAGAGGUACACAAUGUCAGGACACACAAGACGGGCUUUGACCCCUAAGAGCAGUCAAAGGAGCCUUUCAGGAAGCACUGCUGGAGCUGACACUGGGAGGAAGGAGUGGGGUGGAGGCAUGUCAGCAGAGUCUGACAUGUGCAAAGGCUCUGGGGCAGGAGGGUCAGUGUUCCUUCCAGGAACCAUUAUUGAGCAGAUAGCAAGGAAGGUUGGAUGGGGACCAGUGUGGGUGUGUGUGUGUCUGUAGCAGAAGAUGGAGGCGUUCCUUUAGGGUCUCUGGUCACCUGUGAGGAUGGGCAAGCAGCUCAGAGGCUUGGAGAGCAGAGAAGGUUGAUAAAGGCAUUUUGAAAACAGCAUUUCCCACACUAUUCCUGGUUUAAGGGAAAGCUCUGUUGCUGAAAAUGCAUAUUUGACCCAGAGAUAGUAAGUUUCAUUUGAAGCCAAUGGAUUGUGAUCCAAGUUCUGAACUCUCUCCACUAGCCUAAAAGCGAUCGUCAUAUAAAAUCAGUCUAGCACUGGGGCCGGCCCCGUGGCCGAGUGGUUAAGUUUGUGCGCUCCACUUCAGCGGCCCAGGUUUUCGCCGGGUCAGAUCCUGGGCGCAGGCCUAGCACUGCUCCUCAAGCCAUGCCGAGGUGGCGUCCCACACAGCACAGCCUACAGCUAGAAUAUACAAGUAUGUACUGGGGGGCCUUGGGAAGGAGGAGGAAAAAAAAAUCAGUCUAGCAUUUAUAAGCCAAGAUGGCACUGACAUUCUUGGGUAGGAUUCCUGAAUUAUCCUACAGAGGGAGAAGAAGAACAGCCCGGUCACUCCAUUUAUCCUGGUGAAAAUUCCAGGGCAGUCCAGAAUUUGCCAAAAGUGCUGAAAGUCGGUUCAAAAGAACUCUUGCAUACCUCCCCGUCCAGGGCCACCGCCUGCUAAACGCUUCCUUAUUAAAAAGAGAAGAUGUCUCUUCAGGCCGAUGAGAAUGAACUACUCGCUAGAAUACAGACGACACCCCCUAAUAUUUUUUUCACUAUUAACUUGGAGCACCUGGAAGGAAGGAAGGCCAACCUCCCACCAUGUCUGCCCUGCUUUUUAAGUGAGUUCACUGGGGAGAAACUGUCGCAUUGCAAAACUUGAGAAAUGCCUGCCAAUCCAAAAAGUUUCUGUAACAGGAACCAAUACGCAUGUAAAAGAAAAAUCAAAAAACUAGAAGGAGGAAGGUGCUUAAACACAUAUGCUUUAAAAUGAAAAUAAUUUUUUUUAAUAAAAAGAUAGCUUGGACCUGAUUUAAAAGAGAAAAAAAUUACAGGCAGUCAGGGAACAAAAAUUAAGAUUUGUUUCCUACAAACCCUAAGACCAUGUAUGCUGGAGGAGAAUGUGUGUGUGUGCGUGUGUGUGGGGGGGGGUUGCAUUAGCGCUCAGUUUCAGAAGUGUCAGAGUGUUCAUACAUAAUGAUACCCCAGGCCGUCCAACCCUCGGAACUUCUCCCAAGGAAAUACUUUGAAUGAAAAAAACCAGUUGUGUGCACAAGAUGCUUAUUGCUUCGUUAUUUGCAAUAUUUUAAAGAAGUUAGACUUUAUUCUGGAGAGAAUGGGAGCAGAGUGUUAUAUGUGAGUCAGAUGGUCCGGGGCGUUUACAGUCAGUGCCGGUGUGGCGGAAGGGUUAAAGGAGAGGAGGACAACAGGUGAGGCGCUGGUGAGUUGUUCUAGAUAAGGGGUGGGGAGGGCCUGACUAAGGCCGUAAACUCCAGCUUAGUGAGGAGAGCCUAGUCAAAGGGAUGUUUAAAGGAUCAUUUAAAUGUGCAUAAGGAGAGAGAAGGAAGAAUCUAGACGGACACUCAGUUUGAGUGGAUGUUGGUGUAGCCAAAGAAGAUGGAGAACACAGAAGGAUGAUGCAACGUGACUAGAAAGGAAGUGGGGAGUUGCCUUACAACUACAAGCAGAGGAAUGUCACGUCGCUCCAGUGUUCUUCACAUUCCCAGAAAUAUGUCGUGGUUGAAAAGGAGGCAGAUGACUCAGCAUUCCCCUGGCUUUCGACAGAUUGACCGCGGAGCCCAAGCAGUGCUAAUGAGGACAGGCUGGCGGAAGGCGCAAUUAGGACGAGCUGGCCUGUCCCGCGAGUCUGGGGGCUGCAGGGUGCUGGGCAUGCGGAGAUGAACCAUGUAAACACAGCACAGUUUUCUCGAAGCUGGAUUAAGGGGCCCCUGGGUCCACGUUGCGUUCAUGUGAAUUCUUAGCUAUCCAGAGGUAUCAGACCAAACUCUGUGAAUUCGGUCGUGGUUCUGAUUGUUCACUUUGCAGUGGGGCCUGGGGCUGUCCUUAAAGCAGGCUCCUAUCCUAAACUUCCUCUCUUCUGUCCAGAAACCUGGGAGCUUUCUUCUACCUUGGUUAUUCCUUCAUAUUUCCUCCUUCUCUCAUUUUCCAAAUUAAACUUUUUUUCUAGUAGAAAGACCUGGAAAAUUAUUUCAAGGACAAGAAUUUGGCAACUGUCCCUGAAAAUGAAGCACAUGCUUUGCAGGGGUUUUAUGAUGUUCCAGAGAGUGGCCACCUGUUCCUUUCCACCCGCUCCGGGCGCCGGGCCACGGGGCUAAUGAGCCGUGAGACAGGGCCAGUGGCCUGUGUUGCAGAGGCUCUCGGUUCUUCAGAGGCCUCCUGUAACCCACGGUCUCCACGCACCCUGUCCUGCCAGCCUGUCGGUAGUCACUGAUCCAAGGCCCAUAGCCCAGAGCAACGCUGAGCUGUGGACACCUCCCAGGCUUUAUUUCCAAACUCAUAUUUACUCACCUGGAAGAAAGAAAAUUCAGAUUUCCCGAGGUUGCUGGUAACAACCUCAUAUCCACCAAAGGCAAAGGAGCCCCACACCGCCUCUGAAGGAUCCCUGAGACUCUCACCAGGCAAAGCCGAGUUUGUGAGGAGAAGCCUGGAAAGAGGCAGGUGGGCACCGGAGCCCCCACAUCCGGCCGCCAGCAUGCCUCAGCAUCUCCUAGACGCGUGACCACUGAAACCAGCUCCGCUCCGUGACUCUGUUUUUUGUCCAGGUGGCAACUAAACUGAUAAGGAGACAGCUCUCCCUGUACCAUGUGCCUCGGCGGUGGGGGUCCACAGCCCCCUGGAUGUGAACACGAGCCAGUGGAGUACGAGGCUAAGGGCUCUGGAGCUGACAGACCGGGCACAAGCCGAGACAGAAUCCACCCCCUAACCUUCCACCAUUGGAGUCAUGAGGUCAGGAGCUGGAGGCCCCCCAAGGAAAGGCUGUAGCUAAAGGCUGCAGAUGCUGAAAACGGUUACAAACACACAUACUGUUAUUCCUUCUGGCCCGAGCGAUUUCCUAAGACGGUGAAAUUAGCCACGAAGGAAUUUCCUCCUUUACUCGGAAUGGAGUUUUGGCUGAAGGUCCAAGAUGUCUUGAAAGGAAGAGAGAAGACAGAGGCUUUGAUUUCAGCCCCUAAGAGUCUUCUGGAAUUUUACAGCAGGUGCAGCAACUGGGGGCAAAUAUGUGAUGGAGAACAAGAAGCAACCCUCUUCUCUUCAAAGCUGUGGUUGGUGAGGUCCCAGGGCUUGCUUAGGUAGGAAGGAUCUAGCCAAUUCCAGGACCAAAACUUCUCCCUCUAUUGACACAUUCUGGAAAAAUGACUAAACCUUUCUGUACCUCAGUUUUCCCAAGUGCAAAAUCAGAAAAAUUAUUUUAACCCAUUUUAUAGAACGGUUGCAAGGAAAACACAACCAUGGGUAACACUCGAGAGGGACUUUGCUUGUAGCUAAUUGGCACAUAAAUGCUUCAGACUGUCAGGCCCUGGGGAAGCCUGCAGGCCAAUCCUCCUGAUUGGAAUCUAUUGUCAGGGCAUUAGUAAACACGACCUUAGUGAAACAAAAGCAUAAGGAGACCAGCACAUGCACUGUGCAUUGUGCCAGAACUUUCCAUCGUGUGCUGCUGAACUGAGAGACCGAAUACUUCUGUCCUCUCCCUCGGCCCACUAAGGAAAGUAUUUUUAUUUCAUUGCAUACAUAUUUUCCUCCUUCCCUUGGUCAUGAAUCAGAACACUUUAGAGCCAGAAGGAGUUUUAGGGCUAUUCUCGUUGUUUCCCGUUUUACACACAGCAGGUCCUGGAACUAAGCGGCCCGAGUUUUCUGACUCAGGGCAUUGUUCAAAGGAACCACCAAGCUCAACCCAGCCACAGCUGGGGCAACAGCCCUGCUCACUGUUCCCACUACAGGGCGAGCUAGUGUGUCAGAGCGUUCUUCCUCGGACCUCGUUGACAUGCGUCUUUUUGUAGAAGGCUCGCAGUGGGCCAAAUGCUGAAGGGCUGGGCUCAGGACCGGACUCUGGGUCUGUGGAGGGAAGAGGUGGGAAGUCAACCGUUGUCUACAGAGUCCUGCCAUGUGCUCGGCGAUGUGGUGGGUUAUCACAUUGUGAUCUUCACCAUAAUCUUGGGAAACAGGCGGCGUAUUCCCAUCCAUGGCCAUGGGAAAUGAGGGUUAGAAGUGUAAGCAACUUCUCCGGGGGUGAGAGAUCCAGGCUUCCAGCCCAGAUUCCGAAGCUUGCCUUCUUGCCACUCCCCCUCGGGCGUUAUCAGAGAAACUGUGUCCUGGGCAGAUGACCAAGGCAAGGACUUGGCCUCAGGGAAAAGUCUGGGAUGGAUUCCUGAAAAUGGAGGAUAGGCUUGAAGGAACAAGGCAAGAAGCCAAUUCACAGGCCUGGGGUUCAGGGAGGACAGAGCUAACUGGAUGCCAAGACCGGAGCUGUGGGCCCUGGAGCCCUGCACAGCACUUGCCCUCUGUCCUGAGCAAACACAGCCCCUGUUACUUUUGACUGAUGGUGCCUUGACUCUGGAAUCUGGCAGCCCUCCUGACUUUUAACCGAACGUUUUAUGCUGAGUCAGCUGCCUUGUGAACUCCUUUUAGCCACAACAGCUGGUCACUGAAUGGGGACAUGGAACCCCCGGAUACCUGAUGGAGAGCUCCGCGUCACGGUACACAAAGGUUACAAGCAGAACCGUCAGCCUGCUGGCUUUUGAUCCUGCCUCUGUCACCUACAGCAGUGUCAGCUUGGGCAGGUCACUGAGGCUCGGGGUGCCUCAGUUUCCUCAUCUGUAAAGUGGAGGAAAUAACGGAUGAUAACUGUACCCGCCCCGUAGGGCUGUUUGAAGAUGACAUGAGUUAGUCCACAUAAAACUGCUUCCAACAGCGCCUGGCACAUAGUAGGUGCUCAAAACUAGGUGGUUGUCUCUGAUUCCUGCACACGCCCGUCACAGCACGGGGCAGCACUCCCCUAAAGGGACCUCAUGGGGACCUUAUCCAGGCUGGGGACACGCUGUCUUCUGAGCCAGGCCACUCCGUUUUUGGACUGCUCUGACUAAGAAAACGCUUCCUUGCUUUCAGCCAAAUCCACCUCCGCGCCGCUCCCACUCAUCCUUCCCAGCUCUGCCAGCAGGCAAAUGUCAAAAAAAUAUUCUCGAAAGAGAGGACACAGAAUGUAAAUAAUCAUGAUAGAAUCGGGUUGAGGAAUGACAGUCGUCCUCGCAGCUGCCAUUGCCACAGCGAGGCACAGCCCGGGGUGAAGUCAAAGACCUUCGAGUUAAAUUCGAAAACCGGCAAAAGUUCUUAGUUUUUCUCUGCUGCCUUUAGGAAUGCAUCAAACAACUUCCUUCUCCAUUCUCGUCAGACCAUAGCAUGCUGCUGGACGGCCACGAGACUGAGGGAAAAGUCGCUGCACGUGGGCAAAGGUGAUGGUCACAAGGGCGGCAGAGCUGUGACCUCAUUCCCUCGCUACGUGCGGGGCGCCCUGUAAUCGCCGGGCGCCCAGGGAGUGUGCUGGGAGGCGGCGGCCCUGGCGGGCGGCCCUCCUGUUUACAGAGCCUCUCUGGCGUCAGGUAUAAGAUCAUGACCCAUGCAGCCCUUCCUGCCUCCACGGCGUGUACUGUGACAUAAGACGACUGCACACAUCUUUUUCUAGAAAGAUUUGACAGCCUAGCUCGCCAACGACUCUUGUUAAAAUGAUUUGUAACAGAGAUUUUGAGUGUUACAAGAUGAAGAGUUCUGGAGAUCUGUGGCACAGCAACGUGAAUAUAUUUAACCCUACUGAAUUGUACACUUAAAAACGAUGAAGAUGGGAAAUCUCCUGUUAGGUGCUUUUCACCACAAUUAAAAAAGAUAUAUAAAAAAGAAUGAAAUGUAUAGAUGAAAUAAUAUGACAAAGUUGCUUGAAAAUGAUACAAAAAGAUGCAAACGUUCAUCAAGCUGUAGAAGGAUGAUUUAUGCGCUUUUCUCCAACAUUAGACGUGAUUAAAAAGUUUACGUACUGAAAAUAAUAGCAGAGGAGGAGGAGGUAAGGGGACUAUAGUUGAACAAGAUGAUCCGUGAGUUUGCGCCCGCUGCCAUUGGAGGGGUGCUAGUCUGUAUUUGUGUGUGUUUGCAAAUUUUCAUAAUAAAAAUUAGAUUGCAUGAAACAUUUACAAUGUUAGAAAAAAUGAUUGGAACAUUUCAAGAAUAAAUCACUUGGAACUCAGGACAUGGGUGUGGACUCCUCUCAGUUGCUUCCGGCGGGCAGGGGGGAAUUCGGUGCCCAGUACGUGAUGCAAGAACUGCCACGUCGUGUUUCUAAAUCGAAG